This is a long non-coding RNA of Cyprinus carpio carpio, 1006 nucleotides long. The record is from Ensembl. Lineage: Eukaryota; Metazoa; Chordata; Actinopteri; Cypriniformes; Cyprinidae.
GCUCUCUCACGCUAAAUUAACAAAGUCUUACUGGGCAGAGGCUGUAGCAACCGCAGCUUACAUACAGAACAGACUCCCCACAUCUGUUCUGAAACAAGUGACGCCCUACCAGAAAUGGUGCGACAAACAGCCAAAUGUGAGUCACAUGAAAGUGUUUGGUUGCGUAGCUUAUGCACAUGUCCCAGACAUUGAAAGAAGAAAACUGGACAAAAAGGCUGUGAAGCUUCGUUUCGUGGGAUAUGCCAACAAUGCCAAGGGCUAUCGCUUGUUUGACGAAGAAAAAAGAAGGAUUCUAAUUCGUCGGGAUGUGAUCUUCAACGAGUCAGACUUUGACUUGAAACAAGAAGUGGAUAUUUCUUGUUCGGAGAAUGAAGUUAUCAUGAAAACUGACGAGAGAACCCCAGUCGAUGCUACUGUCGAUGAAACUGCUAGAGAAGAACCAAGCACACUGAAAGAGGCAAUGAUGAGUCCAAAUGCAAAGGAAUGGCAGGAGGCUGCUGACUUGGAAUAUGAAUCACUGCUGGAAAAUAAGACAUGGGAUUUAGUGAAACUACCAAAGGAUCGGAAAGCCAUAGGAUCAAGAUGGGUGUUUAAAGUCAAGCAUCAUAGUGACGGACGAGUGGAGAGAUACAAGUGCAGACUUGUGGCUAAGGGUUACUCACAGAAGUAUGGUGCUGACUACGAUGAAACUUUUUCACCCGUGGUACGUUUUAGCUCAAUACGUACGUUGCUGUCCUUUGCAAUCCAGAAUAACAUGCAUGUGCAUCAGAUGGAUGUGGUAACCGCAUUUCUAAAUGGACACCUGGAUGAGGAAAUCUAUAUGGAGCAACCAGAGGGAUACAUCAGACCAGGAGAAGAAAGUUUGGUGUGCAAGCUGAAGAAGUCAAUAUAUGGACUGAAGCAGUCCCCUCGCUGCUGGAGCAAAACUUUCACAGAGUUCAUGAAGAACAUUGGAUUCAAACAGAGUACAUCAGACCCAUGUGUGUUCGUGAGAUCUCGACAGGAG